This 345-nucleotide ribosomal RNA is filed under the name uncultured bacterium. RNAcentral's name for it is "bacterial SSU rRNA". It matches the Rfam family "Bacterial small subunit ribosomal RNA", at positions 373 to 710 of the family's 1533-position model. The record is from RNAcentral.
GGGCGAAAGCCUGACGGAGCAACGCCGCGUGAGUGAUGAAGGUCUUCGGAUCGUAAAACUCUGUUAUUAGGGAAGAACAUAUGUGUAAGUAACUGUGCACAUCUUGACGGUACCUAAUCAGAAAGCCACGGCUAACUACGUGCCAGCAGCCGCGGUAAUACGUAGGUGGCAAGCGUUAUCCGGAAUUAUUGGGCGUAAAGCGCGCGUAGGCGGUUUUUUAAGUCUGAUGUGAAAGCCCACGGCUCAACCGUGGAGGGUCAUUGGAAACUGGAAAACUUGAGUGCAGAAGAGGAAAGUGGAAUUCCAUGUGUAGCGGUGAAAUGCGCAGAGAUAUGGAGGAACACC